UAACCGAUGUGUCAGCUAGCGAACGACGAGAACCAUUCGGCGAACCUCCAUCGUCCAUGCUUGGGUCAAAGGAAAACUUGCUCCCUGCAGAUGAAUAAUUUACCCAUAUUCAAAAUUAAUCGACAAGAAACAUCAUUGUACGAAGCUCUCUCAACCAUGGAAAUCACGUAGAUUCCAUAUUUCUACGUCGUUCGAUGUGCAAAUUUGUCGUACCGGGAGAAGAAAUCAAUUGAUGGAACGGGCUCUUGUGCGACGUUAGAUUAUUGUCCAACGACAGUGAGGGGAUCUUAGGAUUGGGAAGAGUCAUACAUCGGUGGGUAAACCUUCUCGAUCUACUCCUCCGAUUUGUAUCUGUUAUUUGUAGAAAGCGAAAUUUGUUUAGUCGAAGGUUAUUGAGAGUAGGAUUUGACAUGAAUUUUUGUUUCUGUCGAGUAGAUAUCGUCUCUAGAAUAAGGUGAACAGAACGAAACACUGAGGUGCAUUGAGUAUUUUUUGUAUGGACUUUAUAAAGUAGGAAUAUGUAUGUGCAAAUUUAAGGACAUGCAAAGGAAAUUAAAACAGAUACUUUUAUUCUAUUUAGGCGGAGUUUCUUUCUUUUUUUUUUAUUAACAAUUAGAUUUUAUUACGAAAAAUGAGUAUAAAUUACACAUAAUGGAAUAAAAAUAAACGGUGUGAAAUAUCUUGAAAUAUAAGAGAAAUUAAAAAAAGAAGUUGUCGAAUUUUUCUAACUUAGCCAUAAAUGAGUAUUUAUUUUUUUUUAUUUAAUUUUUUUUUCAUUUUAUUCUCAUUUCAGUGUAGGAGAAAAUAUAAUAUCUAUGAGACAAUCAGCAUGCAAAUAAAUAUAGAAGGUGAACGAAAGAUUUUAUUCUCUGACACUUAUGUACAGUGUAAAUCAUUUAUCGUCAUGCUUUGAUCGAGAUAGGAGUGAUCUUGUUUCUUUAUUUAUUAUAAUUAUUAUUUUUUUUUAUGGCUAUGUAGAAUUUUAAGCAAAGAGCCCUUCGAGACACUGGGUAAAGUUUCCAUGUGCUUUUCUGAAUCAUCCGAUUAAUGGCAAGAAAUUAAAAAUGUGCGUGUAACGUGAUACAGGAUUAAUUGAUACCAUCCAAGAAAAUUCUUUUUAGCAUGUUGUUAUUACGUAUAGAGUAUUUUAGAGGUUUUUUUUUUUUUCAUUUUUCUGGUUUUUAUUAAAUGCUAUCGUCUGAUUUGCCGUUGCGAAAUUUAC
This is a long non-coding RNA of Athalia rosae (coleseed sawfly), 1222 nucleotides long. RefSeq lists it as uncharacterized. The record is from RefSeq and is a predicted model, not a curated record. The transcript is spliced from 2 exons. NCBI's taxonomy places the organism in Eukaryota, Metazoa, Arthropoda, Insecta, Hymenoptera, Athaliidae.